CUACGGGUGGCUGCAGUGGGGAAUAUUGCACAAUGGGGGAAACCCUGAUGCAGCAACGCCGCGUGGAGGAUGACACAUUUCGGUGCGUAAACUCCUUUUAUAGGUCAAGAUAAUGACGGUAGCCUAUGAAUAAGCGCCGGCUAACUCCGUGCCAGCAGCCGCGGUAAUACGGAGGGCGCAAGCGUUACUCGGAAUCACUGGGCGUAAAGAGCAUGUGGGCGGGUUAAUAAGUCAGAAGUGAAAUCCAAUAGCUCAACUAUUGAACUGCUUUUGAAACUGUCAACCUAGAGUGUGGGAGAGGUAGAUGGAAUUUCUGGUGUAGGGGUAAAAUCCGUAGAGAUCAGAAGGAAUACCGAUUGCGAAGGCGAUCUACUGGAACAUUACUGACGCUGAGAUGCGAAAGCGUGGGGAGCAAACAGGAUUAGAUACCCUGGUAGUC
This 439-nucleotide ribosomal RNA is filed under the name uncultured bacterium. RNAcentral describes it as "partial 16S ribosomal RNA". It matches the Rfam family "Bacterial small subunit ribosomal RNA", at positions 339 to 795 of the family's 1533-position model. The record is from RNAcentral.